This is a long non-coding RNA of Diorhabda carinulata, 4214 nucleotides long. RefSeq lists it as uncharacterized. The record is from RefSeq and is a predicted model, not a curated record. Lineage: Eukaryota; Metazoa; Arthropoda; Insecta; Coleoptera; Chrysomelidae. The transcript has 3 exons.
UCUUCAGAUAAUUUGAAAUUGUGUGAAUCAUUAAUUUACUUAUAAACAUUAAACAAACGAUAAUCUAAAAUAUAGCAUCAAAAAGUUCUUCGACCCUUGUCUGUCUAGACAGCAUGUCGGCCAUCUUUGUUGGUCGACGCAAUUAUUGUUCACGUCAAAUAUUUUUAACUGUAAUGUGUUUUUUCAUAUAAAAAUAUAUAUACAUAGUUAUUAAUUUUAAAAUACCUUCAUUCGAUUGUAGAACAAAAUAGUUAUUAUUAGAUAAAUAAAAUACAGGGAUUCCGGAUCUGUUUAAUAACUACAAAAAAAUCUUUCGAUUUCUAGUUUUAAAAAUGCUGAAAAUUUUUAUAGGAAACUUUGAAAAUUUUCAGUAUAUCGAUAGAAAAUAGUUUUUAUCUUAAAAUUUUCGUGAAACGGAUUGAAAAUAAACAUUAAAAGUGAUUUGCUUUUCUUUGAUGUUUGUGGCGUGUUUACAAUAAUCCGAUAAAGAAUUUUCCUUGUUUUAAUACAAUAUUGUGUUGUGAAAAUUAUGGAUACCCGGAAAAUUCUCAACUACCAAGAUGGUAAUUUCCUUAUUUGUGAAUUGGUUAAAGUUUAUUCUGGAACAACACAUCUAAAGGGCCUAGAGCAACUGUUUCAGGCAAAUUAAAGUUAUUUUUCAAGUUACGGAAGACACUUCAAUGUUACCUCGAUGAACAUGAAGUCUGAGAAGUCUCGGCUGAAUCCAUCUUGAAUCACAAUCCAUUUGAAAACAAAUAUGAAACUUGAGCUGACAACUCUUAAAUUGAAAAAAGAUUUGAAGAGUACCUGAUGCCUCCAAUGUAAAAGCAGCCAAUGUUUCUGUAUGAAAGUGUUAUCAAAGAUAAGGAUGACAAGUGUCAAUUCCAUUACUAUUCAAUCCUGAUGUUUCUUUUGUUGAAAAAAUAAAUAAAGUAUUAAAAAUGAAUACACCAAACCAAGUGACAUUUAUAUUAGUUGGAAUAUCAUUUUAAUAUGGAAUAAAAGUUCCAAAACUGUAGCAUCUUAUUAGUAGUUUUACAUAAAUGAAAGUAAGUGUGUUAAUAAUUCGAAAAUUAUGCCAACAGUUUAAUCAACUAUUAAAUUAUCAGGAGAUAAAGCAUGGUGGAAUGUGAGUAUGGAUUAGAUUUUCUGUUUCAUUUAGUAUCAAACUGAAAACAAAAUUUCGAAAUGGAAGAUGCCGUUUGUGCAAUUUAUGGGAGUUACAUCUUCGUGCAUUGCUUACUUGUGAUGGACUGUUAUGGAUUUCACUUGAGUAGAAUUUUUUUAUAUAUAAUAUAAUGUGAGCCUCUGUUAAAUAACAAAAGUUCUUUCAUCUUUUAGUUAUAAACAACUUAUAAUAAAAUCAGGUAUUGAAACAAAAAGGGGUAUCAUAAGAUACCAAAAUUUCAUUCCCUAUGACUAUUAGAAAUAUAGGUUUCCAUUGAAACUUAGAAAUGGAACUUACAUUGUAGAUGUACCUCGUAUGAAGGAAAUUCUAAAAUCAGUUAUUCAAAUUUUUCUAAAAUUUUCGGUCCGAAUUAUUGCAUAAAAUUUUGAUUGAAAUGAUAUUUUUUGUUAUUUAAUGAGUGAGCAGACCUUUGAUCAGUUGCUGUUGGUUUUUGUACUUUUGGGAAUUCUAGGAAUAUUUUAUUGAGAUUAAUAUAGUUACAGAUAUUAAUUAAUGAAGAAAAAUAGUUUGAAUUAAUUUUUGAAUAACUUUUUUAACAUUCAGAAAGUUUUAACAAACAUCCAAUUAAACUUACAAAACAAUGUUUUCGAAAUUUUUAGGGAUCUUUUGAAGUAUAAAGUUAAAUUUGAAUAUUUUAUUUCUUGUUAAUCUCGAUAGAAUUGAUUAUGUUGUGAUUAGAAUUUUGCGUAAAAAUUAGGGAAAUGGAAUGAAAUAUGAAAUCGAAAUGAAACAGUGUGAAAAAAUUAUAUCUCAAGAAAAAUUAUUCGAAAUCAAUCUAUAACUUUAAAUUAAAGGAAUCAUUUGAAAACAAUAAGUAUAUAAAAGUAUCUAAUUCUGAAUUUUCAACUUAUAAUGGUUUACUAUGGAGUCUGGUAUGUUUAUUUUAGGGACCAUCAUUGCACCCUUUUUUUGUUAAAAGUAUCAUAUAUUUUUCUACAUUGGUUAUCGAUAAUUUACAAGAGGUAUAAUAUAUUUGGAAAACAACAGUGCACUGCAGUUUUGGAACCCUUUUUAACAGUUUGUAGGUAGAAUAGUUUGUUUACAUUAUAUCGAGGGUUUAAUACAGAUAAAGAAAAAUGACCAUGCAUGCAUUCCCUUCUUGGAUGCCUUUGUCUUUGUUCCAAGAAUUGUGUGUUUACAUUUCAAUCUUAUUUUUGGCAUUUAUGAGAUUAUGUUCAACAGAAUUCUUAAAUAGAUAAGGACCACCCUACACUAUGAGAAAUUUUGAAAUCACUGUAUUCUAGUUGAAUAAUCGAUGGUAAUACCAAAAUAACUAUACAUGUUGAGGGUUUAUUACUAAUAAACGAAAAUUGACCGUGAAGCACCUUCUUCCAUGCCUUUGUUUUUGUUGGAAGAAUUUUUUAUUUAGUUUGCAUUUCGAAUUGAUUUUUAAUAUUCCUGAGAAACAUAACGUUUAAUAGAAUAUUUUCUGAUGUUUAUCUAAUUUGGGGAUGGAACCACCCCCCAUCCAUGGGAAAUUUUCAAUUCACAGUAUUUUCGAUAAACAAUCAAAAAUAAUACCAAGAUAACAAAAAUGUUUUGAUUUAUAUGCAGCCAUUCUUUUGAAAGUUGAAAUUGUUUUAGUCAGUAAUAUUGUUCUAAAUUCUACGUUUUUUAAUUAAGAAACAUUCUCAUGUACCUGUAUUCACUAAUGAAAUUACUAAUUCCAAAAACGAAGAUAUGUCGUAACACAUUAAAAGUAUACAGAUUCCCAAAAGGAAAUUACUAUUAUUUGCUGCCCAUAAACUCUACUUAUAUAGUCAUUAUAUUGCUUUAUUUAUUUUAUCUUUGAAAACACUAUUUUAUUCAAUAUGUAAAUUAUAUAACAAAAUAUGUAAUAUUCAAUUACUUAUUAUUUAAUAAAUCAAAACUUUACAUCUUCUCAUAUCAUUGACCCCUUUCGAAUUCUUUGCAAAUGUCUAGACUUGUUUUUGACCUGCGCACUGUGAAUGUUGAAGUCCCAAGCUUUAAACAAUGCAUUUAAUUAUUUAGAUAAUGAAACUUUGACAGUAUUACAAAUUCCGGCAGACAUAUUUGAUGCUAAUUUUUCUAUUCCUGAAAUUUCGUGUAAUUUUGUUUUCGGUUGUGAAGUGAAAACUAUUUUCUUAUUGAUAUAGGUAAGAUAUAAUUCUCUUUAUGUAAAAAUUAACGAGAUUUGUCCAAUUAAAGUUUCCAGGAAAAUGAACGGAUUCAGUGUAUUACAUUUUAUGGAAUGCUAAGGUUUUAUUAUUUUUUUUUUAAUAUUUUCAAAGUAAUUAAAAUUAAGCAUUUUCUUCAGAUAAUUUGAAAUUGUGGGAAUCAUUAAUUUACUUAUAAACAUUAAAUAAAGGAUAAUCUAAAAUAUAGCAUCAAAAAGUUCGUUUAUCCUUGUCUGUCUGGACAGCAUGUCGGCCAUUUUUGUAGGUCGACGCAAUUAUUGUUCACGUCAAAUCUUUUCAACUGUAAUGUGAUUUUUCAUAUAAAAAUAUAUAUAGUUAUUAAUUUUGAAAUACCUUAUUUCGAUUGUAGUACAAAAUAGUUAUUAUUAGAUAAAUAAAAUACAGAGUUACCGGAUCUGUUUAAUAACGACAAAAAAAUCUUUCGAUUUCUAGUUUUAAAAAUGUGACUAAUGUUGAAAAUUUUUAAUGAAACUUUUGAAAUUUUCAGUAUAUCGAUAGAAAAUAGUUUUUAUUUUAAAAUUUUUUGUGAAACGGAUUUAAAAUAAACAUUAAAAGUGAUUUGUUUUUCUUUGAUGUUCGUAUUCGUGGCGUGGCGUGGCUUUGUUUUUGACUACCAAUGUUGACAUCAAUAAGUUUAAACAAUGCAUUUAAUUAUUUAAAUAGUGAAAUUUUGACAUUGUUACUAAUUCGGGCAGACAUGUAUAUUUUCUAUUAGUCAAAUUUCGUGUAAUUUCAUUUUAGAUUGUUAAGUAAAAACUAUUUUCUUAUUGAUAUAGGUAAGAUUUAAUUAUCUCUAUGUAAAAUCAACAAGAAUUAUCCAUCUAAAGUUUGUGUGAAUUCAGUUAAUUACAUUUUAUCGAAAGCUA